RNAcentral lists this ribosomal RNA (253 nucleotides) under uncultured bacterium. Its description in RNAcentral is "partial 16S ribosomal RNA". It matches the Rfam family "Bacterial small subunit ribosomal RNA", at positions 524 to 776 of the family's 1533-position model. The record is from RNAcentral.
UACAGAGGUGGCAAGCGUUGUUCGGAAUUACUGGGCGUAAAGCGCGCGUAGGCGGCUCGGAAAGUCGGUCGUGAAAUGCCGGGGCUCAACCCCGGGACUGCGUCCGAUACUCCCGAGCUGGAGGCAGGUAGGGGAGAUCGGAAUUCCUGGUGUAGCGGUGAAAUGCGCAGAUAUCAGGAGGAACACCGGUGGCGAAGGCGGAUCUCUGGGCCUUGCCUGACGCUGAGGCGCGAAAGCUAGGGGAGCGAACAGG